AUUGUUCUCACUUAAUACAUGAGAACAUGCAAUAUUUGGCUGUUUCUGUGUUAAUUCACGUAGGAUAAUGACCUUCAGCUGCAUCUGUGUUGCUGCAAAGGACAUGAUUUUGUUCUUUUUUAUGACUGCCUAGUACUUUGUGGUGUAUAUGCACCACAUUUUCUUUAUUUAAUGAACCGUUGGUGGAUACUUACCUUGGUUCCAUGACCUUGCUGUUAAGUUGAACUAAUUGACACCUACCACCGCUUGCUGGAGGUUGAGGACGCCCAGUGAGUGUGCACCCGGGCUGGAGAAGGCAGGAGGUAUGGCCCGGAAAAGAGACACAGAAAGGUGGAUGAUGCCCACCUGGCUGCCGAUGACUUCUGCACCAAGUGAGGCUGGGUCUCUGGAGCUGCCCCAGGGGCUGGACAAGCUGACCCUGCCUGGAGCCAACCUGGAGAUGCAGCCUGAGAACCUCAAGGAGGACCUGGUCUACCUGAAGAAGAACCAUGAGGAGAAGGUUCUAGGUCCCAGGGACUCCAAGGCUCAACCCAAGGAUAGAGAUCCAAGGUCCUGCCGGGGCGGUCA
Molecule: long non-coding RNA, 567 nt
Filed under: Homo sapiens (human)
Lineage: Eukaryota; Metazoa; Chordata; Mammalia; Primates; Hominidae
Description: novel transcript
Source: RNAcentral